Molecule: ribosomal RNA, 465 nt
Filed under: Vreelandella stevensii
Lineage: Bacteria; Pseudomonadati; Pseudomonadota; Gammaproteobacteria; Oceanospirillales; Halomonadaceae
Description: partial 16S ribosomal RNA
Rfam family: Bacterial small subunit ribosomal RNA
Source: RNAcentral
CCUACGGGAGGCAGCAGUGGGGAAUAUUGGACAAUGGGCGAAAGCCUGAUCCAGCCAUGCCGCGUGUGUGAAGAAGGCCUUCGGGUUGUAAAGCACUUUCAGUGGGGAAGAAAGCCUUGGGGCUAAUACCCUCGAGGAAGGACAUCACCCACAGAAGAAGCACCGGCUAACUCCGUGCCAGCAGCCGCGGUAAUACGGAGGGUGCGAGCGUUAAUCGGAAUUACUGGGCGUAAAGCGCGCGUAGGCGGUCUGAUAAGCCGGUUGUGAAAGCCCCGGGCUCAACCUGGGAACGGCAUCCGGAACUGACAGGCUAGAGUGCAGGAGAGGAAGGUAGAAUUCCCGGUGUAGCGGUGAAAUGCGUAGAGAUCGGGAGGAAUACCAGUGGCGAAGGCGGCCUUCUGGACUGACACUGACGCUGAGGUGCGAAAGCGUGGGUAGCAAACAGGAUUAGAUACCCUGGUAGUC